Molecule: ribosomal RNA, 366 nt
Filed under: uncultured Glomeromycotina
Lineage: Eukaryota; Fungi; Glomeromycota
Description: LSU rRNA
Source: RNAcentral
UUGAAAGGGAAACGAUUGAAGUCAGUCGUACCGACGAGAAAUCAACUUUUCGAAUGUGCAUUUGUGGGCGUAUGAGAUCUUCAUUGUUUACAAUAUGUAUGUUUCUUUGGUGUACUUUUUCGUAUGGUAGGUCAAUGUCGGUUUUGAUCGCCAUAAAAUGAUCGGAGGAAUGUAGCUUCGGCUUCGGUUGAAGUGUUAUAGCCUUUGGUAGAUGUGGUGAUUAGGACCGAGGAUUGCAACGAAUACCUUUUAGGCUAUCCGUCUGACCUCUGAAAGUUACUUAGGUGCCGAAAGCUUGCUUACGGUCAUUUAAGUUGACGGUCAAUAGGUUAGAACGUGAUUACAUUCGUUAAGGAUGUUGACGUA